UUCAGCACUGGUGAAGAAUCCUGGCUGCCAUCCCCAGCACUGCAGAAACUGGGUGUGGUCUUGUAGAUCUGUCAUUGCAGCACUUAGAGUUCAAAGUCACCCUUGGCUACCUGGAGAAUUCAAGGGCAGCCUGGGCUACAUGAGACUGUUUCAAACAAAACAAAACAAAGAAACUCACAUAGGUGGGACGCAGGGCUCUUCCGUUUUCUACUCUUUAAAAAAGUGAAGUGUGUGUGUGUGUGUGUGUGUGUGAAGGAGACAUAGAGAAGUGGGGGAGGGAGACAUGGCUAGUGUUGCUGACGAAGUUUCUGGAAAUCCCAAUUGUUUUUGAGCCACUUGGCAUUCCAGGGUUUGGGUGGGAAUCAUUGCAACACCUGCGGCCUCAGGGCCCAGGUAAGACAGUGCAGGUGUUGGGAGGGGACCCCUGGGCUUUGUCAUCAUUGUGAUUCCAAGGUUAAGGCUGGGCCUGCCUGGCCCCUGUCCCACCCAGGGCAGUGUUGGCUGAGGAAGAGGGCAAGUUCAGAGUCAGUCUAGUCAGGCCUUCUGGUUAUGUGAGGGGGUCAGAACUAGUGAUCCACCCCCCCACCUCUAUUUCCCCCUACCCUCACCCCUGACCCCCACCAUGAGAGAGCUGAAUCUGUCUCUGCUCCCUGCUGGGCUGGAUGGAGCCCACCAUUUCCAUCCUGUUCCACCUGCUCCCUUACAAGCGUCUCUGGUUGUUUUGUUGGAUCUGAGCUCCCUUGAGUGGUGACUGCAUCUGUUUAAAGAUUAACUUUCCCAGAGCUGGGAGACGGCUCACUCCUUCGGUAGAGUGUAAGCAUAGGAACCUGAGUUCUGAUCUCCAGAACCCAAAUAAAAUGCUAAGAAUGGCAGGGCCAUUCUCCAAGUGAGUUCUGAAGUUAAACACAGUUCAUCCUUCAGUAAGCCAGUAGCAAUUACAUUCACUCCAGCUAGAGAGAAGUCCAGUCACAUGCAAGGUCCUGUGUCUACUUCAAAGUCUUCCUAGUGAGAGCUGAGAGUCCUCUGGCAUGAUUACCAACAUGGCAACUCAGUGCCACAUGUCAGCAGAUUCUGGAUCUUAGUGAUUUGUAGGAGCUUUUUGCAUAUGAAGGAUAUAUUUGUCCUUCCUGGUUUGUGAUGGGUCCUUAGUGCCUUUUCUCUCACUGUAAAAGAGUUUCAAAUUUCUUUUCUUUAUGGCUAGGAUCCCCCCUUGCAAGUUGAAUGUUUCGUUGUUGUUAUUGUUUUGUUUUGUUUCUAUAUUUUUUAGUAUUUAUUUUUUUGUAAGGCAUGGAUGCCAAGAUUGGUGGUAAGCAACUUUAUCCACUGAGCUAUAUCUCAGCAGCCCAGAAGAGGAUAGUUAACUCUUCCUUUUCUUCAGUGGGGCCCAGUAUCAGCUGGCUUGGGCAUGUGUACUGUCCCCACAGGGGGAAGUGACAGUCUGUGGUCUCCUGGCUCCUGCCUGUUCAUCUGAGGACAAGCCAACUGGCAGUAAGAAUAGGAAGGGCAGGAAGGGCCUGCUUACUGCCCCACUCUGGGCUGGACACUGGAGCCUCAAGUGUUCUUACCACUUCUGGGUAAGAGGGGCCUCAUCUCAUUCCCAUUGUGCCCAGACUCCUGAUACCCCUCCACCAAAGCACAAGAUGUCAUCUAGCCAGUGGAAACAGAAGGUCCUCCUUAUGCAUAGGCUGAGGGCUUUGUCUCUGAGAGGGCUGGCAAGGCAAGGUGGCUGGUCACUGGAAUCUAGAUAGAUGCACCCCGUGGCCUCAUUUAUAUCUGUAGACAGGUGAGUUCCAGAGAAUGCCUACUUCUAAAAUGGUUUCAUAGUUUGUGAUUACCCACAAGUCUUGCCCUCUUCCAUUCAUUCAGAAAUGGAGAGAUUUGAGGGUUAUAGGAUAAAGCGGAAAUGGGUGUGUGGUGUACACGCUGUCUCCAGGGAAGAGUGUCAGGCCGGCAGACUAUAGGUCUGGAGGUGGGGUUGUGGAGAGAUCUGCUCACAGAGGUUUGUGGAGAAGGGCUGUGGCUAAAGUGGCCUAGCUGCCAAGGUUGGGAGUCUGUGCCUAUGUGUGCAGCUACGGUCUUCCUUCCACACUGAAGCCCAUUCCUGGGAAGGCCUGUUUUGUGGAAAAGGAGAAGAGGGGCUCUCUCUGGAGAAGGAGUCAACACAGCCUGGCUUGGAGCUCAGGGACCACCCCACUGGCAUCUCCCCUUUAGCAGUUUAUUCCAGAAUCAAAGAUCAGGCUAGGAUGGACACCCCAAUGCCUUGUUAAGUCUCAGCUUAUCCCUGCAGAGUUGGAGUGAUCCCUUUGUAAGACACUGUGUGUGUGUGUGUGUGUGUGUGUGUGUGUGUGUGUGUGUGUGUGUGAGUGUGUGUGUGUGUGUGUUUUAGGCACAGCUUAAGGCAGCAGCUGACUACAAGAGACCCCACUUGAAGCUGAUAUACACAGUGGAAAGAGAAGAAUGGAUUCUGAGGCACUCUUGGGGAGCAUCCUCAGUCUGCAGAGGUCACCACAUUGCAAGCUGCAUGCAAGACACAUGUGACCUUCGUGCUUCUGAGCAACCAGAAGGCUGAGACCUCAGCUUCUCCUUUCUCAGGUUUGGGUGGCUCAUGUAUCUGUAGUCAGUCCUAAAAAGAGCACUGAACUUUACCCCACCCUUACUGCCUUAAAGGCCAGUCCCCUAGGAGAGCUGACUACCCAUGGAAGCUGGGGCGAGCACCCCCAAUGUCCUGAGGGCUUUCUAGUAGAGUGGACACUGGGUGGAGAGGGAGCUCCAGAGCUCCAGGCAAGGCCUAGUGACUCCUCUACAGGAGGGCAGAAAACUGUGUGGAGAGGGAGGUCACAGCUCUACAAAGGGAACACAUUCUCAAAGCCACUCACCAAGUACUGGAAUAGCUACCCAUCUUGGUUAAGGGCAGACAUGAUGUGGCAGCAUGAGGAUGCAGUUAUGGGGAUGAGCUUGGUCCAGGUUUGGGAUGUGUUCUCAGUGUGAGCAUGGGGAGAGUUCAAGCAAUGCCUUCCCAGAGUGAGGUGGACACCAGGAGCAAGUGACAGAGCUCCAGGGGAUGGUUCUGCUUCCAGCCAUGAAGUGGGUGAGAAGCACUGUGGCCCCAGAGAUGAGUAGCUGCAAACUGAUGACAAGGAGAGAUGGACAGACCUCGGAAGUGGGGCAAGAAGGACCUGGUGUUGGACAGGUGAGGUUAGUAAAGAGACUGAGUCACACCAAAGCCAAUAAAGUCACCACAAACAACCUAAUAAAGGGAAGUCCUAGACUGGCUCCUUCAUAGGUAAAUUCGAACACUCAGAGAACUAACACCAGGUCUUCCCAAUUUUCCAGAACAAGGAAGGACUCAGAACACCUUUGAGUUCAUUUGAUGAAGCUGGCAUUUCUUUGACACUACACUACACUACUGCACAUAAAUAGUAGCCUUAUUACAGAGGCUGGGUAUUCGAGGAGGUUGGAGAGAAGACACAGUUAGUAAAGGUCACUCAUCAACCACGAGGACCUGGGUUUGGAUCCCAACACCCAUAUCAGGGGGCUCACAACUGCCUGGAAUUUCAGUUCAGAGUACUCUCCUGACCUCCAUGGGCACCUGCACACACAUGUGCGUAUAUACUCACAGAGAUGCAUACAUGUAGACACAUACAUUAAAGGAAGGAGGGAAGGAAGGAAGAAUUACAUGUUUGGGGACAAAUCUAACCAUGGAAGUGAAAAGCUGGUUGGCAGAAAACCACAAAACCUCUUAACAAAAUGAUUAAGACCCAAAUACAUGGAAAGACUCCCCAUGUUCUUACUAGAGUGACAACACAAAUAAUCAACAGAUAAAUCACAUUUUCCAUCAAAAGUCUAAAGACAUUUUCCAGGGAAAUGUAAAAACCAAUCUCUAAAUUCAUGAGUUCCACUGGGCCCCAAAUAGCUAAACAACCCUGAAAGAGGAAAAAAAAAAAAAGAGAGAAAUCUACACUGUCAACUUUAAAACUUACUACAAAGCUACCAUCAUCAAAGCAGCAUGGCACCAACCUAUGAACAGACAUAAAAAUGUAAAAUACAGCCCAGGAAGAAGCCUCAUGUUGUUGACAAGGGUUCUGAGAUUGUUCAAAAAGGAAAGAGCCAUCUUCUCCACAAAUGGUGGAGAUGGAGCUGGGCAACCCCAAAGAAAAGAAUGAAGCCAGGCCCUUACCUUGAACCACACACAGAAGCUGACUCCAGGUGGACCAUAGCUGUAAAUGUGAGAACUCAACCACAGCUCCCUGUAAAAGGAAACUUCAGGGAUCUUCAUGGCAAUCAAACUGCAUUUCAAACCAAAAAGUACUCAAGAAGGGUAUUCUGGGUUCAGUGAAAGACGUGACUGAAAAGGGCUGAUAGGGAGAGAUGGCUCAGAGGUUAAGAGCACCUGUCCUUGCAGAGAACCUACCUGUGUUUGGUUCCCAGCACCCACAUGCUGCCUCAUAGCUUUUGCAACUCCAGUUCUGUGGGGAUUCAACACCCUCUUCUGACCUUCACAGGCGCCAGUCACACAUAUGAUGCACAUAUACAGGCAAAACACCCCCAUGCAAAAAUAAUUUUUUUAAGAGGAGGGUGAUAGAGAAAGGUCACUGACAACAAUCUCUAUGUGCACAUAACCCUGCACGCACACAUGCACACACAGACAGACACACACACACACACACACAUACACAUAGACAGACAGACAGAUAGACACACACACACAUACACAUAGACAGACAGACAGAUAGACACACAUACACACACACACACACACACACACACACCAGAAUAUAUAAAGAACUCUUAUAAUUCAACAACUAAGGAGCAAUCCAAUCUUGAAAAUGUCAUGAGAAAUAGUUUCAUCACUAGUCAUUAGAGAAAUACAAAGCAAAGCCACAGUGGAAAUCACCCAGUGUCAGCUUAAAUCAACAAGAAUAUCAAAGAUGCUGGGCAGUGGUGGCAAACAUCUUCAAUCUCAGUAUUUUGGAGACAGAGGCAUGUGGAUCUCUGAGUUCCAGGCCAGCCUGGUCUACAGAGUGAGUUCUAAGACAGCCAGGGCCACACAGAGAAGCCUUGCAUAGGUACAUACAUACAUACAUACAUACAUACAUACAUACAUACAUACCAAAGAAAAGAGCAGAUAUCGGCGGCGUGGAGGAACCAGACCUCCCAGCUAUGGGGAUGACAGUUUCUCUGGUUGAUGUGCAAGACACUUGAACAGUGCAGCAGAAACUUCCAGGGUGCUAUGCAGGUGACCCGGCAAUUCCUUUGGAUUUACACAGAAGAAUCAAAGCUGCCAACUCCAGCAGACAUUGUGCAUGCAUGCUAACAUCAGCGUUUAGUCCACGGUAGCCCAGAGUUGGAAACAGCUGAAAUGUAAGUUUAAUAGGGGAGUGGGCGAGCAAAACUUGUUCCAUCCUCCAGUGGAGUAUUGCCAUUUCGCUCCUCUUCCAUUAACAGCAUGAUCGCACCAAGAUUGGAGCACCAGGAUGGGAGCACCAAGAUUGGAGCACCAGGAUGGGAGCACCAGGAUGGGAGCAUCAGGAUGGGAGCACCAGGAUGGGAGCACCAGGAUGGGAGCAUCAGGAUGGGAGCACCAGGAUGGGAGCACCAGGAUGGGAGCAUCAGGAUGGGAGCACCAGGAUGGGAGCAUCAGGAUGGGAGCACCAGGAUGGAAGCAUCAGGAUGGAAGCACCAGGAUGGGAGCACCAAGAUCAGAGCACCAGGAUGGGAGCACCAGGAUGGGAGCACCAAGGAUGGGAGCACCAGGAUGGGAGCAUCGGGAUGGGAGCACCGGGAUGGGAGCACCAAGGAUGGGAGCACCAGGAUGGGAGCAUCAGGAUGGGAGCACCAGGAUGGGAGCAUCAGGAUGGGAGCACCAGGAUGGGAGCACCAAGAUCAGACCCAUCAGACUGGUGGUCUGAGAGGGAGGCAGUUUUCAUUAAGCAGUUUAUUUAAUUGGGGGAGAGGGAGAGGGAGGAAACCAAGGCUGUUUAAACCUUCGGGGGACAAGAGCUAUGGGGUAGGUGGACAUCACUGGUAUUCAUCAGGGUGCUGGUGAUGCCUCAUUUACAUAACAAGGAAUUCCAGGCACUGCUGGACUUGAUCUUACAAGGGGAAAGGAAGUUUAGUGACCUCCUCUGCUGGGGGCAUGAGUCUCUGUGCACUGGGACAACAGACCCAAGGCAGGAGGGUGGAGUCCUACUUCUGCCAGUCUCAGGACGAGGUUUCUGGGCUGUAGACAUGCCUCAGCCCCACUCUUGCCCCAGGCCUGCUCCCCUGACCCCACAGAGCAUCAGUCAGUCUUAGGAAGGGUGAUCUGACAUACGCUGGAACACGGGUAAACAGUGAGGACAUGGCAUCCCAGAGAAGGAAAGCAGAGGCGAGACACAUCUUGUGGGAUUUUGCCUUCUCCAGAUCUCCAGAAUAAUAAGUCUCCAAGGAGAAAUCAAAUGAUGGUUACUGGGCCCUGGGGACAGAGUUGGCCGUUUAGUGGGGACAGCUUCAUGUGUGUAAAUGAAAUAAUUGGGGAGUGGGAUUACAGCCAUGGCAGUCCUGUUCGUCUGGGGAAUGUUCACUGGAAAACCUUUAAAAUAGUAGCACUUGGCGUGCUUUUUACAACUAGUUAAAUGGAGGUGCACUGUCACAUAAAUAUAAACAUAAAAAAGGAUAGGGCUAUGCUGGGGAGAUGACCCAGUGGGGAAAGUGUCUGGGGUGCAAAUCCAAGGCAUUGAAUUCGAUCUCCAGCACCUAUAUAGAAGCCAGGGUGAUGGUGAGCGCCAGCCAUGCCAGUGCUGUGGAGUGGGGGACUGGAAGGCUCCUGGGGCCAGUCUAACCAUUUGGAAGAAGACCCUGCCUUAAAAACUACUGUGGAGAGCAAUGGUGGAAAACACAGAUGUAGACUUUUGGCCUUCACAAGCACAUCAUGUCUACAUGUACACACACACACACACACACACACACACACACACACACACACACACACACACAAAUGCACAGGAUGCGGCCAGCUUGCUACCUCUAAUCCCCAGAAGUUAUGAACCAGUUGCAUCAUAGCCACUUACCAGCACCAGUCAGGAAAUGCACAGGCCAGCUGUAUAAAGGAAAGGCUAGACCAGGGAUGUGGUUGUGUUACAUCCAGAGCCCCACUGCAUGGGCUGUGAGGUCAGUCCUAUUCUUAAGUACAGUGUAGGAGCACAGAUGAGAGACACAGGGCAGUCAGAGGUGUUCAGGGACCACACAGCUGGGCCUGUCUGGGAGCUCACCUCCACCACCCAGGAUGGCUCCAGUUUGAAGGCCCACAUGCCAGAAGGUUCUGCCACUUCCUCCCUGCAUCUCCCUUGCCUCACUCCACCCAUGGGUUUAUUCUCUGGCCCGACACAGAUCAGGGGUACCAAGGCACAGACCUGUGAUCACAGACACAUAGAUGCUCACAGCAGCCCCAGGCGUCUGUCCCCCCGCACCCCCUCUCUCUCAUGCACGAUCCCACACAGGUACUCGUGGUGUUCACAGACUACAAACUUGCAAACAUGCCGGGCAUGCACUCGCACACGUGGUCGUACACCCACAUGCACAGGCACCGCCCAAAACAACCCAAGGCAGGGGCUACCAUCCACGUGCCUCGCUGCUAACCAAACUAGCCAGUAGGGACUUGCUUAAUUGCUGUUAGGGGGAGGAGCCAGCGGCAGCCAAGGAUGCCUGCCAGCAUGUGGGUGGGUGCCCUCCAGCCCCUUGCUGCUUGGUAACCAAACCCAAGCCCGGCCUCAGGAAUGCUGGGCAGAGGAGAGAAAAGGAAAAAUGCCCACACCCUAUAAUUUAAACAUGUCCUUGUGGCACACACAGGCUGCUUGGCUUUGCCAGUGCCAGGCCUCCCAUGGGCACGUGAAAGACUACCGGCUGAGUGGCCAGUGGGUGUGGCCAUCAGACAGGGCACCCUGGCCUUCUAUCCCUGAUAGGGCCACACUGCUUCCUGUUCACGUCUCACCUGCAGCUGGGCACGGCUGAGCACCCGAGAUAACAUCCUCCUGUUCUCUCCUCAUGCUCUGCAGCCUACUCAGGUUAGGCCUGUGCUACCUCGCACCCACUGCCAGGUGUGGCACAGGGGCCUGCCCUGAGCUGGAGCUGCUUCCUUCCCUGGCCCCCAAGACUCCUCAGCCUUGGCUGACCUCAGAUAGCCCCUACCCACUAGCGGGCCCACCUCUCCCUUCUUCGCCUCAGAUUUUUGCAAUAUUAUUUUUGCUCUCACUAACCCCCAGCCCAUCCUCAAAGUCUUGGCCCCUGGGAUGCUGGCUGGGGUCUGCUGGCAUCCUGAAUGGGGAUCUCGGAGAUGGGUGACAGGGAUUUGUGGAUUUCCCACACCUAUCUUACCCCAGAGGUCAGAGCACACUUUGGCCAGAGUAGGUUCCUGGGCUAUGAGGGAAGGUUCUGUCAUUGCUUGUGGUUAAUCCAUGAAAGGCAUCUCAUGGUGAGCAUGAAGGAACACACCCUUCUUCAAGGUCUACAUGUCCCCUGUCACCACCAACACUACCCUGUGUGUUCUGGAAUGAAUCACAUUCUUGUCUACCCCAGGGCCUUUGCACAGCUGCCCCUUUAACUCCUUCCUCCACUGGGACAUUGUUCUCUGGGAUUAUGGCCUGGAGGGCGAAUUCCAAAUCUUCUUCUUCUAUUCCUCCACUGCACUGCCCACCUCUUUUCUGGACAGAUGUCUUUUAUUUUGGUUCUUUUUUUCGGAGCUGGGGACCGAACCCAGGGCCUUGCGCUUCUAGGCAAGCGCUCUAUCACUGAGCUAAAUCCCCAACCCCGACAGAUGUCUUUUUAACUUUACUUUUUAUUGCAUUCUUUGCUAAGCAUUGGCUCCAGGUUUUUAUCCUCCUCACCUAUACACCGCCAUACUCCUACAGCUGGGCACACCAAAGAUGUCUGAUGAAUGGUGAUAACCUGAGGGAGGGGAAAGGUGCCAAGCUGGUGCCCAGGGUGGGCUGAGAUCCACACCCUGAGGGUUGUGUUUACCUCAGCUGCAUGCACUGUUGUUGCUCAGCUGGUUUUGGUGGCAGGAGCACCGUGUUGGCCAGAGGGUCCUCUGUUGGACUGCUUCUAUACUUUCACAUCACACCCCCCAGGUCUCACCUCCUGGUGGAGUGUAGCUUGCCAUGCUUGUCACUUGAGUAGACUUCGAGGUCUCUGUUCAUUCUUCCCAUGUGUGGCCUGGCCAGCUCUAACCUGUAAGUCACAAGGCUGAGACUGCACCAGCUGGGCCCUAUCUCGCCACUGGGUGCCUCUUGUUUAGCACUGGCCUGAGCAGAUGUAAGUGAAACUCAUCUUCCUCCAGAAGGUGCCACAGGGCACUCAGAACAGUGGCACGGACUGCCAUCCCGUCUGAGGAAGCCUUUCACGACAUUGACUUUAGAGAGCAGGCAAUCAUCAAACGGGCUGGCACUUCUGUAUGCGAAUGGUGAAGGGCUUGCCACCAUGUCAGGCACAUAUUUCUCAGAGCAAGGGGCCAGUGUGGAGUAGUGGGGGCCCACCUUGCCAGGUGUCUCUCCAAGGCCCCCUCAGAGCUCCUUUUAUCCGUGUCUUGGUCCUACUCAGCCCCUGGGUACUUCUUAACUACUUGUUGUUUAUGAUUAUGCCGAGAAGACAUGGUGAGCUGAGCACCCUCUUUGGCCUUCAGUUACUGUGUUACAUUAGGAUGCCCCAAGAUCCUUUGCUUCUGCAGGACAGAACCUCAUUUCUAGCAUACCAGUCCUUCAACUAACCACUCCCCACAUCUAUUCCUUUGGAACUAACUGUCCCCACUCCUACCACUUCCAGCACAGAAAGAGAGAGGGGCAGGAAGGAAGGAGUGAACACCCAGGUCCUGCCCAGACAGGGCUCUGAGAAGAUCUGAUCUUCAAAGUAGAAUAAACUUUGCCCACACUCAGGGGUGACCCAUCGCUUCGGGGACCUGCUUCUCUCAUCUUCCCCAAAGUUCUGGACAGAUCAUGCUGCCCUGGAGAUCUAACACUCCAGGGAGCCCCAGAGACUCAGAGGUUUGUGGGGCUUGUGUGAUCUGAAUGUAGCCUGGGCAGGACCCCCAUGCCUGCCCACAGUCAUAGUUGUGUUUGAUUGUCGGUUCAAAUGAUGUCUUUCUCCUCUCCCAUCUCCCCUGUCUCAUCCUCUCAGAGCCCGGCUCUCUGCCCUUCCCACACCAGCCUCACAGGCUACACCAAGUGCUGUCUUGUCUCCGUGUGCUGUGGAAGAUAAGGAAGAAAGGGGCAGGCUGGACCCUUCUCUGUGGGGAAGUGUUGUGGAUUGCCCUGGUGCUGUUUAUAUUUUGAUGCUAACUCUGUUUCCUCAAGAGGGGCUGCCCAGCCUGAUGACGAGUGGAUCGAGUACUCAGAUAAUUUCAUGUGAACCUUCUCCCCACUUUAACUGCUCGAAUGGAGGCUAGAGCCUGUGAUUGGGCAGUGGAAGGGAAAGGUGAGGCUGGAAGUUUUAGGGAGGGAGAAGGGAGGAAGGAGAGGGAGACAAUGAGACGGAGGAGACAGAGGAAGAGGCGGUGGAAGGACGAUGGAACAGAGCCACGUGGCCUGGAGGAGCCACAAGUAUUAAGGGCUCUCAUAGCUGGGGAAUAGAGCAGUGUAGUGAUGUAUCUGUUCCAAUCUAGGCGUGUAACUUACAAAUACUGUAACUGAGUUGUGUGUUCUUUGCACAGGCUUAUUCAGGUUGGAGAUUUACUACAACAGGGACGGCCUAGUGCUUUCAAUAAAAGACAGAAGGGCACAGGGGGAGCCAGGCCCAGGCCCAGGGCCCAGUCUCAGCUCAUCCUUAAGCCCAUGUCAGCUGCGUCAUCCUGGUUUCCUGGACUAAUGGAUGACACUGGGGGGUAAGGACACCAGGAGGCCAGCCCUGCACCAUCAGAGCUGUCUACUGCUCUGAUUUUCCAAUCCUACCUGGAAAGAUUUUUGUUUUGUUUUGGUUUUGUUUUGUUUGUUUGUUUGUAUGUUUGUUUAUACCAAGUUCACUGUUCCCUGAGCUCAGUCCCUGGUGUAUAUGGUUGGUAGAAUGUGGCAGCCACCGUGUCUGCGCCCAACCCCUGAAGACUGUUAAGGCGGUGGAAAAGCAGGGGAUGAUCACGUUCAGUGGAACUCGUGGGGACCCGGGGAUGGCAGUCACAGGGGUGGGAUGAACCCCGCCCAGUGUUGUAUGAUCACACUGCUUUAGGAGUUGCUUAUGGAGGUGACAGGAGUUGGUUGACAAUGGUUCAUGACAGCCACUGACGAUUAAAGUACCUGAAAGCACAAGGCGAGGUAUCUGCUUGAAAUGUAAGUGCUUGAGGAGUCUGAAUGCCACACCCUCCAGUUGCUCUGCUCUGUCAUCAUAGCCGAUGCACCUGGUCACUGAUUAUUCCUCCCAUACAUGGUGGGGACAGCCCUCUCCAGAGUACUUACCCUGUGGGAGCUGCCUAACAUUGAUGGACGGCUUUGUUGAUUAUCCAGACUUUGGAAAGGGCCCGAGAAAACAUUAGUGGUGUGGAUUGAAUCAGAAGUGUGUCACACGUAGCUUUCGGACCAUGACCAGCCCCGAGCAUGGGUGAACUGUUCAUUCAGGAUUCACCCAAUCCAGCCAACAGGCAGUGAGUCCGUCCUCUUGUCAAUGCAUGAGGUUCCGAGCCCUGGGCUGUGUGUGUUUAGAUGCAGGUGUGACUCACCGAGGUCAACAAGAAUGUGACCAACAUUCACACGCCUGCUCAGAAAUGGUCUCCGAAGCUGGCUGUGGUCACCAAGACAAUUCAGAGAGGACCCCAGGGCACUGGGCCUUUGAGUGUUCUCUGUUCAUUCGGCUUGCAGGAGGGAUCCUUGUCAUAGUGAGUUGUAAAGUGAUACGGGUCACUAGAGGUAAUCCUAGCUCACGCUGUGGCAAGUAGCCCCUCUUCAGCACAAAAAUCAGUGACACACCAUUCUACCCACACAUGCCCCCAGACCAAGACCAGAGCGUUGUCAGAGAUCUGACAGCCCCACUUCCUCGCUCCCCCAGGCCAUGAUAGGCACCUUCUUGCAACCCCAUGGACAGAUUUCUGAUUUUGACACAUGGUGGCCACGUCUAUGUGUCUGGCUUCACUUCUCUCCGGAGCCCAUGGAGGUGAGAUUCUGUCGUCUUAGUCCAUGCAGCUUUGCCUGUUCACUGUUGUGUAAUCUUCCACAGUACAUCCAGCUAUGGUGGGGCACAACUUUAAUGCCAGCAGUCGACAGGCAGGUGAAUCUCUGUGAGAUCAAGGCUAGCCUGGGCUCUAUAGCAAGUGCCAAGCCAGCCAGGGCUACAUAGUGAGACCCCAUCUCAAGAAAACUGAAACAAAGCAAACAAAACAGCCCAGGGUGUACACCUUCACCUUAUUUGCUCCCUCUGUUGAUAAUGGGCUCUUGAGUGGCUUCAGGUGACAGAGCUGCCAUACAUAAUGUUAUCAGAAGCAACUGAUGUGUGUCUAUGGAUAAACAUGAAGAAUUGCUCAGGGAAUAUACCCAAAGGGACUGCUGUACUGGGUCUGGGUCAUCAUGUGCCUAGUUUUGGCAGAGCCUACACAACAUCGCGUAGAGAUAAGUGUGUGUGUGUGUGUGUGUGUGUGUGUGUGUGUGUGUGUGUGUGUACGUGAACAUGAGGCUACAGGUCAUCUAAGGUUGUUGUUCCUCAGACACUGUCUAUCUAGUGUUUUGAGGCAGAGUCUCUCACUAGUCUGGAGCUUGUCACUAAGUCACAUUAGCUGUGCACAGAGCCCCAGGGACCCUCUUGUCACCGCCUCUCCAGUGUUGGCAUUGAAAGUGCAGGCCACCGUGCCUGGCUUUUCAUGUGGAUUCUGGGGGAGGGGGGCAAACUUAAGUUGUGCUAGCGCUUUAUUGACUGAGCAGUGUCCCCAGCCCUAUGUCCUAAGGUUUCAGCAAGUCACACCCCAUAAGCACUGUGUGGAUGUGACAGAGACUCUGCCUCCCUCCAGCCUUGUCAUUUGCUCCUGCUUUAGCUGCUCUGAGUGUCAUACAGUGACUCACCAGGCUUUUAGUUCAUUUUCCUGAUGGCCAACUCAUAAGACCAGCACCUCAUCAUGCGCUCAUCAAUGUCCUCUUUAUGAAAAGGGCCGCAUCAAUCAGAGUGGCUUGUUUAAAGAUGUCUGACGUGAGGGGCCCUUCUGAGACAGUGUGUUCCUGGGGUUUGCCUGACUGCAGGCCCUUCUCCACCCUGCAUGUUAUGUUCUUGCUUUCCUCAUUGAAGUCACUUCAGGGACAGGAUUUCUUCACAUCCUGUGUGUGCACUAUUUAAGAAUCACCCCCUGCAUCACUUAGGCAGUGGCUGUCACCCUUUGGUUUCUUCCCAAACCUUCUCACUUGGAUCCAUGAUCUAUCAGCAACUGAACUUCACUCAGGCCGAGAGACUGUUCCUUUCCAGGCUGAACAUGCAGUUGGUUCCACCUUGCUUACUGAGAGUCCCUGCCACAUGCUGGUCAUUGCAUGGAACCCACAUCUGUGUCUUUGUUCUCGUGGGCAAAAUGAAUGCUGUAGCAAUGUCACCAUGUCUGAAACUACCCAGCUAUUUGUAUUGGCUAUCUGUCUUUUUGCUUUUUGUUGGUUUGUUUUGAGACAGGGUCUUGGGUAGCCCAGGGUGGCCUCAAAGUUAUUAUGUAGAGGAGAGUGACUUUUAACUCCUGAUCCUCUGAGCUUCUGUUUCUACUUCCUGAGUGCUGCGAUGACAGGCAAGUGCCAUCACAUCUACACAGGGAUGGAGAUGAAACCGGGACUUUCGUGCAUGCUAGGUAAGCUGUCUACCAACUGAGCCACGUGCCCAGCCAAGUAAAGGCACAACCUGGGCUCAGCUUGACUCUCCUGCCCCUCACUUUCUUUGUUCUUUGCUGUGAAGAUUGCUUAUCCGCUCUUGGCUCUUUGAAAUUUCUUCUGGGGUUAGGAAACCCAUCAUAGGUGUCCUGCAAGAAAGAUUUCAUCAGGAAAAAAAGGAAUGCAGCAAAACACACCCCCGGAAGGAGCCAUUGCCUUGCUCAGCCAGUGUUAUCAUGAUUCUCACUGACGCCAUGUACAAACCUGGGGAUUCUGAGCCGAGCCAGAUGACAGCCCCAGGGUAGAUCCCUGUCCAGUCCUUUCCACUGGUGAUGAAUGGAAGCCUAGAGAGCAAAGCCCACUCAUCCACACCCACAGACAUUGCUCAGCACCUACUGUGUGCCAGAUGGAGUCAUCGUGCCACUCACUAUCCUCGUCCCCAAUGUCCCAAGUGUGCUCCAGCUGCCACAGGGCCAGAGAGCUGAAACACACCCUUGUGGAUGGUCACUCUUGAGAUGAACUUGCCCUUCUCCCUGCACAUGAACGUAGAAGACAGGCCAUUUUCUGGAAAGAUGCUGAGUGUUGCCCUUAUAUGCUGGGCCCUGCUUGUCGUCUUGCAGUGCUGUCCAGGAUGCCUCCUAUAGAGAGAAGAGACCCACCCCUCCCUGGAAGGCCCUGGAACAUUCCAGAACAGUCUCUCUGAAUGCCCUGGAAGCAUGUGGCAAAGCAGCAAGAAAAGAGGGACUCUGUGAGCCUUCCCUGGUGAAAUUAGAUCUAUUGGCUCUGACAGCGGGGGCUCUGUGUGCCAGCCAAGGAAACAUAAAGCCAAAAGGCCGUGGCAAGAGGCUCUGAAGUUGUUCCUGCUUGAACUUGUCACCUCUGCGUAGGAGAUCCUGGGAGAGGUGGUCGGGUGGCCACCCCUAGACAGCAGGUCCCACCAUGGUGUGGCUAGAGCUGGAGCUCAAACUUGGAGCCGCAGCCACUGUUGCUCUAAAUAUAGGGGCUUUAGGAAACUUUAUGUGAGUUGUGCCCUCAGUUCACCCUCUGCGACCGGCACCUCCAGAAUGCCCACUUGGCGGAUUUUUUAUUUCCACAGACUUGUCCAGGAGGAAGGGUGGGAAAACCUUCCCCCAGUGCCAGGAGGGGAAAUCGUCCUCUAUCGAAUGGUAACUUGUUAUCUGCUCAACCCAUCAGCAUCAAACUUGCUUGGCCUGAAGCAUUCCGGGGCGAAUUCCACCAGGUAGCCCUAAGGUGGACCAGACCAUUAGAUUGACCGUAGUCAUCCAUGCAGAACCUGGGGCUCAGGACCUGGAAUGAAGGGUCCAGGGGUCCCCUGAGUACAUCCACAGAACCCUCUAGGGUGCCUAGCCCAGCAGUUUCCCAACCUUAAGGUUCCUGGGGACUCUUAUGAUCCUGGCUAUAAACAACCCUAUAUUUUCUUUUUAGAGAAUGCUUUUAGUCUUUGAUUGUGACAGCUAUGGAUCCAUCAUUCUUUGUUCAGAGAAAGGCCAAGAACUCCUGUGACUCUUGUCAGACCCUUUUGUUGCUACCGACAGCCUAAGACUGUCAUUUCUCUCGGACUCCUGAUGUACCACCUGCGCUGACCCCAGCUGUGCCCCCACUGACCCCAGUGCUGGGAUCUCCAGGCAUCUCCACUGGCCUCUCCGCAUCCUGGCAACUGAUUCAUUAUCUCUGGCAUCAUCUCUAGCAUCCUGGGCAUUGUGAGGACCACCAACAUACCCAGCAUCAUCCCCUGUGCCACAGCAGCAGCCUGUGUAUCCCAAGUGUUGACUGCACACCGGGGUGGACCACAGACCUCUCGAGUGCGGAAUGCGAUGCUUCUGAGGAGGGAUUCCAUCUUGUUCUGAUAGCCAAGAUGAGGCUAACGAACUGCCCCACAUCUUGCUGGCUUUGCAGUGAUGGGGGAAGGAGGAAGACAAGGAGGGACGAGGAGCAACGAAAUGCUGAAUGGUGACGUAGGGAGGUCUCUCAGCUAUGACUUAAUUCCACAGUGACCUGUUCAGCAGGCAGUGUUCUGGAGAUAUAGGUGUGGUGCACCCUAGCAAGUCGAGAGCUCCCUGAGGUGUGAGCUCCUCCAUCCACACCCAGGGUCCAGCUGCUGUCUGUGUGCCAGCAUGGGUCAUGCUUGGAUGUAAGUACCAAGAUCCGUGCAGGGCCCAGCAGCAAAAGAAUGGCUUUGCCUAGGCUGGUCUCCAUCACUUACAGGGGAGAAGGUGCUAUGCUGAAUCAUCUGGCCCAGAAGCUACAGGCUUCAGAGGAGCCCAGGUGGGACUGUCUGGGAAUGGGUCUCAUAAGAGCCUAGCUCAGAGCUGGCUCUGGAGAGCCACAGGAACGUGCUCCAGGAGCACACAGCACAGGCACACACUUGCUCAAUGGUACAGCACAUAAGCUCAGGUGAGGGGAGCGAUCCAGCCUAGCUCCAGUGCUGUGGACUCUGAAGUCACUCCAGACCCUGUGAGGGGUGUAAUGCAGUUUGUUUCCACAAUGCUGGAACUUUCUACACUUUUUGGCUUUCCUUUUUUUUUUCCAGGCAAGGUCUUACUAUAUAACCCUGACUAGCUUGGAACUCACUAUAUAGACCAGGCUGGCCUUGAUCUCACAGACGUCCAACUACCUCUGCCUCCUGAGUGCUGGGAUGAAAGGUGUGCACCAAUAGACCUAGCACCUUUCCAGUUUUGAUACAAGUUGACUUCUUUCCUCCCCAUAGCUCACACCCCAGGAGGAAGCUACAUGCAUUGCAGCUGCUUGUGAUACCCCUGGGUGUGUGGCCAUGUAGGUACACGAAGGAUGUGGUUGGGUACAUGGCGGGGGUGUAUGUAUUGGGUUCCAAACUAUCCAGAAAAGAGACGGUAGUCAUGGAGCCUCACAACAACCUGUAGAGAGAAUAUCUCGUGUAUUCUAUGUAUGCAUUACCUGUAGGUAACUGAAAAACCUGUAGGAAAGGGUUGAAUAGAAGGUGGGAUAUCUGGGAGGCAGAAAGGAUUCUGGGAUAGAACAAGGCAAGGGAGAAUCACCUGGGAAGAUGUGACCAGACCUGAACACAGGUAACCAGUCAUGUGGCAGACUGUAGGUUAGAAUAAACAAGCUAUUUUUAUGUUGUGAUUUUGUCAAAGAAGAGCAUAGUUAUGUGACCGAGGUAUUUGUAGAUAUAUUUUGAGUCUGUCUUAUUUCUGAGAGCAUGGGGCUGAGAGGAAGAACCAGGCCUAAAUUCUACAACAAUCAUCUAGGAAGGAGAGAAAAAAAACUAAACUGAGGGUCACUGAAACCCCCAAAUCAGAGCCAUGGGUUCUGACUCACUACUCAGCAGCCUCAUGGCUAUUGGCUGAUGCUAGUGGGCUCAUCCCAACAGCUGGGGGACAAUAGGACCAACCAUCCUCAUAGGAGAGUGAAAGGUUCAUUUCAGGGGUCAGUCUAGAGAGGCCAUGGAUGCUCUGUGUGACACUCAGGAACUUACUUUCUAGCAGGUUAUGAGCUUCAGGUAAGAAUGAAGGUAGGAGCCCUCCUUAGGAAGUGGGGACCAGUACUUAGGAAAUGGGAUUCUAGGUAGCUAUAGUGACUGUGAGAGUUGGGGGUGAGAGGUGUAUAGGGGUGAACAUCCUAAGCCUAGUGCCUCUGACCAACCCCUGCUCCAAGUGCCUCACUCCCUGCCAGCACUGAUUCCAAACACACAGGUCUUUGGCCUGGGCAGAUGGGCCGUGGGGCUACUUGGGCGUCCUUGCAUGAAUCCACUGCCAAUGUGGGGUCCAAAAGGCAGAUGUCUUUCCCAGGUCCCAGUUCAAAUUCAGGGUGCCAAAGAAUAUCCUGUUCAUGGUAAGGAUGUCUUUCUGACUUGAGUCCUCACAUGGCUGUCUGGGGGAGGGAUGGGAUUCAUCAGAGUCAUUUCUUAUGAAGGUGCCAGCUCCAUCAUGGAGCCAAACAAAUAACCUCACUCACCUAUCACCGCCCCACCCCCCGACACACACACACACACACAUAUCACCGCCCCCCCCAUACACGUGCAUUGUGCAUGCCUACCUUUAGACAAGGUGGGAUCAGAGCUUAGCAUUGGCACAGGGAGCAGGAUUCAGUCUGAGAGAUGGUUUUGCCACAUGGGAAUGCUCAACAAAUAAAUAUAUAUUCAUGAAAUGAAUUAAUGACCGUGUCCUACUGGCAAAGGUGACUGCUGGGCACUUGGAGUCUCCUGGGUUCUCACCUCCAUUUUUUCCUUCCUUUGUAGGCCUUGAAGUGGACUUCUGUUGUAUAGGGCACAUGUUGGGCUCAUUCAUACCUAGAGACUGGCAGGAGCGGGGCCUGUGUCUGGCAGGAUAGCUGUAUCUGCUCUAGUCUGCCUGCCUGUGCCACCCUUUCUAACCUUCUUUCUUUUCUCUAUGAAUUUCUCAGGGCCCAUUCAUCUCAGCUCAGACUCCCUUAGAAACUGAUUACCAAGGCCGUUUGAAUCUCUCUGUCGCCUGAGAUUGUUUACAUAGGAAAGGGGUCUACUUGGGACAAAGAAUCAGAAAAGAGUAGAGAGGAAGUGAAUGCAUAGGCAUGUGAGCUAGAGAAUGAGAGACCGAAGAAACAAGCAGGUGAAUGAAUGAGUGAUGGAUGAAUGGGCAUGGGAACGAGUGCGGAGUGACCGAGGGAAUCAAUUAGUGAAUGAGUGAGUGAGGAGUGACCGAGUGAAUGAAUUAGUGAAUGAGUGAGUGAGUAACUGAAGGAAUGAGUGUCAGGAAAGGAAGAGUGAGAGAAUCAGGAAUGAAGGAAGGGCCAGGGUAAGAGUUAGCUGAACUGCCUCUUGCCUCCUUUGACUCUCCCUGUGUCUCUGUGCAUGCUUCUCCCACACCCAGGCCUCAGUUUCUCAUACUACAGCUGACACAAAGGCCCCAGGCCAUCUCAGUAGGCAAGUCCCUGGGUCCUUACUGAGUCCAUAGGGCUGCCUGAUGAUGGAGAGGGAGGAACUUAGGACUGUAGAUAUGUGUCACCUCACAUGCCCCACACCUUCUGGACUCAGGCUUAGACAGGCAAGCAAGGAGUCUCCCUGCCUCUGGCUGCAGGUCUCUUCACUCUUGCCCAGGGCUCAGCCCAUGGUAUCAUGGCUUAAAUCCACUCUAACCUCUGUCCUUGCAUUGGGGUCAAAGCCCUGGGAACUCCCUCUAGUCAACAGGUUAGCCCUUCUCAGUACAGUUGGAGAGAUGGGUUUGGGUUAGCAGCCUGCCUGAAGAUCCUGGGUGCUGUCAGCUCCCAGUGUUGACUCAGCUUUAGCCAAUCCAAGAGGCCUUUGGGACAAGCCUGGUCACACAAGCUCCCUAGGUCCAGAUAUACCCCACCCUUUCCUUGUGGCCUCCACAGGACAUUACUUCAUCAGGGUGGGGCUGGGGGUGCAGGCAGCAGACGAGGCCAACAGAUUAGACCUGGAAUGUGCUUCUGGCUUUGCUGCCUUGUGUUAAGUGGGAGGAGAUGGGUGGCAGAGAGGCUUCUGUGUGACCAGGGAUCAGAUGGAAGGACAUUCUGGAGGCUGGAGAUGGUUGGGACCUUCCUUGUCCACUGCAGCUAUCCAGUGCAGCUAGUCAGAGAGUAUGGGCAGGAAGAGAGUCAGCUGUCAGUGUGUCUAACUGGGCUGCUAGGGCAGAGGAGACAGAGGAGGAGUAGGCGGGUGCCACAGGAGGCAUUGCUCCCAUUGGUACUCAGUGCUGUUUGUUAGGGUUCAUUAGCCUAUGGCCUGAAAUGACCUGGCCUGGGCAGCAGGGUACUGCUGCAGGGGACAAAGGGGGU
Long non-coding RNA from Rattus norvegicus (Norway rat), 19553 nucleotides. RefSeq lists it as uncharacterized. NCBI's taxonomy places the organism in Eukaryota, Metazoa, Chordata, Mammalia, Rodentia, Muridae. The record is from RefSeq and is a predicted model, not a curated record.